RNAcentral lists this transfer RNA (63 nucleotides) under Neuroctenus hainanensis. RNAcentral describes it as "tRNA-Glu". The record is from RNAcentral. RNAcentral also lists the same sequence under 1 other name. Lineage: Eukaryota; Metazoa; Arthropoda; Insecta; Hemiptera; Aradidae.
AUUUAUGUAGUUUAAAAAAACCUAUCAUUUUCAAUGAUAAAUUAAGAAUUAUCUUCAUAAAUA